GGGUUGUGAGGUUAAGCGACUAAGCGUACACGGUGGAUGCCCUGGCAGUCAGAGGCGAUGAAGGACGUGCUAAUCUGCGAUAAGCGCCGGUAAGGUGAUAUGAACCGUUAUAACCGGCGAUUUCCGAAUGGGGAAACCCAGUGUGACUCGUCACACUAUCAUUAACUGAAUCCAUAGGUUAAUGAGGCGAACCGGGGGAACUGAAACAUCUAAGUACCCCGAGGAAAAGAAAUCAACCGAGAUUCCCCCAGUAGCGGCGAGCGAACGGGGAGGAGCCCAGAGCCUGAAUCAGCAUGUGUGUUAGUGGAAGCGUCUGGAAAGGCGCGCGAUACAGGGUGACAGCCCCGUACACAAAAGCGCACAUGCUGUGAGCUCGAUGAGU
RNAcentral lists this ribosomal RNA (382 nucleotides) under Salmonella enterica subsp. enterica serovar Brandenburg. RNAcentral's name for it is "bacterial LSU rRNA". It matches the Rfam family "Bacterial large subunit ribosomal RNA", at positions 1 to 413 of the family's 2925-position model. The record is from RNAcentral. Lineage: Bacteria; Pseudomonadati; Pseudomonadota; Gammaproteobacteria; Enterobacterales; Enterobacteriaceae.